This is a long non-coding RNA of Octodon degus (degu), 1146 nucleotides long. RefSeq lists it as uncharacterized. NCBI's taxonomy places the organism in Eukaryota, Metazoa, Chordata, Mammalia, Rodentia, Octodontidae. The record is from RefSeq and is a predicted model, not a curated record. The transcript has 3 exons.
UCGUGUCGGGGGACGUCGCUGGAGCUGUGCUAGAUCGUGCGCGGGGGUGGUCGGGACGCCGAGUGGCUGCGGGUGUUGAGCCUGCGGCUUCCGACUUUCUCAGUCUGGCGCCGCCAGACGAGAGUCGCGGCUCUGAUUCCAGGGCGGUCUCUGAGUGCUCCUCUGCCUUGGAGCCAGCAAACUGUGAAUUGAAACUUUACAGAUUGUGAAAGAAUCUUUCACAAGAUGGAGCCAGCAAACUGUGAAUUGAAACUUUACAGAUUGUGUAAAGAAGAGAACGGAAGGUCUUCAGCAAGAAAUCCAGAUGCUUACUCAGCAAAUACUGCUGCCACCCAUCUUUAUGAAGAACUCUUGUGGAUUGUUCUAAGCUAAAGGAAAAUAUAUGAAACAACAAAGAUCUCUGCGAUAUCUGAAAGAAAAUUUGCUUUCCAUAACUUUUUACCAGGAAAAUGACAUUUCGAUAGAAAAAGAUAUUCCUGAAUUAUAGAUCUUACUAUAACUGAGAAAAGUUAUAUUCUUCUGCUGCUUGAUAAAGCCACUGACUGAGACAGUAGACAUAAGAGCUUUAUUUAGAGAAAGAAUUUGAUCAAAGAAUAGAGAAGAAGCUCUGCUCAAACAAACUUCUCAAUUCCAAGGAGGUUAGGAGUUACAGAUGUAGGAUAGGAAUAAUGUUGGAGAGAGGUAGGCUAAUAAAAGGGAUGAAUACUGUUUUGCUUAUUUUUUGAGAAUACAUCUGCCAGGAAUUCUGGUACCACCUAUUUCCCUUCCUUUAUGUCCUGCUGUUUCCAGUCAUGGUGUCUGCUAGGUGUCUUUAACCUUGGAGCAGGGAAGAGAGACUAGGCAGGUCUAGGUCAGGUAACUUUGUAUUGUACUUCGGAACAGACCAUUUUUCAGUUGAUCCACAUGUCUGCAUAUAGAGCUGAGCAGCAUCUGACCAAAGGUUAGGACUGCAAAGGAGAUGGACACAAUAUGAAGACAGAUGUCAAGCCUUUUCAUUGCAUUCCAGUCAGCCAUCAGAUUGUUCCUGGAUUCUGGGGUUCUGUAGAUACUAGGAAUUCUAUUCAGAUUGGUGGUGUCCUAAGCAAAUGUUUUGACCAGACGUGAAAAUGGCUGUUGGGAGCCUCUGAAGCUGGAAAAUCAGUCAGA